This 1182-nucleotide long non-coding RNA is filed under the name Homo sapiens (human). RNAcentral describes it as "SPRY4 antisense RNA 1". The record is from RNAcentral. Lineage: Eukaryota; Metazoa; Chordata; Mammalia; Primates; Hominidae.
ACUCUCAUGAUGACAUAGAAGAGAUGCGUCUGAAUCUUUCUGCCAGUGUGUUAAAGUUAUUCUGAUAUUGACUGUAGUUCUGAGCUUUGUCUCUAUCCCACCAAACCACUAACUUCUGGAAAUUACUUGUAGACCAAGAUGGGAGGACUCCGUGUGUGGCUCCAUAUGAAUGACUUAUCGUGCCUGUCCAGAGUCAGGGAAAGGAGAAACAAUCUUAUUUGAGAAGGGAGGAUAUCACUGCAGUGGUUGUGAAAUCGUGUUUGGAAGCUAGAUUGCUCUAGACCACUAAGGUCUGUGUCUCCUCUUGGUCUUCACAGCUCUCUUCAUGUGACAAAGAAACUUCCUAAAAUACUAAAAGCUAAAGGAGAUUGUUAUCUAAGCUUGAGAUGGAAGGUUGCCAGCGGAAACUUGGAGGAUCACAGCCAGUCGCCUGGGAUUGACCACAGGGAGUGGCAGAGGCAGAAAGCAAAAGACCAGUUGCAAUUAUCCAGGUAAAAGAUGGAGGCUGUUGCAAUAAUCCAGAAUCCUGAAUUGAGCCUGUGUUCCCAGUUCCUAGAAACCCUCAAGGUUAUUGGUUUCCUCCUCGCUUAAUAGACCAGUGGAAGAAAUCUACCUCCAGUUCUAUCUUCACAUGAGCAACUGUUUACAGUUUACAAUAUUACUCUGAAAAUCAGUUCUUUUCAAGUUUUAUCUAACACCCACCAGAAGAAACAGAAGAUUAUGAAAAUGGAAUUUGUCAAAGUUCCUCUCCCAACAAUAUGAUAUUUAAUUUUGCUAACAUUUUUUUUUGAACACUUACUAUAUUGCAGACAAUGGUCUAAGUAAAGCAUUUUAUGUGCAUCCUAUCAUGUCAUCAUCACACAGCCCUGUGAGGUAGAUACUAUUAUUAUUAACCACAUUUCACAUUCAAAAAAACUGAGGCUUAGAGAGACUAAGUAAAUUGUCCAAGGUCACACAGCCAUGAAGUGGCAGAGCUGUGGUUAAAACCUAUGUCUGUCUGAUGUUUAAGAUUUUGCUGUUAGCAUUACUUUGAAAUGACAAUAUGAGGGCAUUUUAUGUAUUUUUUUUGCCCCAAUAUGAUCUGCAGAAACUAUGUAUUUUAAGUACUACAUUUCUUUUAUUUACCAAAUUAUUGUCAGAUAAGAAACCGAAAUAAAAGUUUACAGGGUCUAGGAUUCCUCC